UACGGAAGGCAGCGGUGGGGAAUAUUGCACAAUGGGCGCAAGCCUGAUGCAGCCAUGCCGCGUGUAUGAAGAAGGCCUUCGGGUUGUAAAGUACUUUCAGUCGUGAGGAAGGUGUUAAGGUUAAUAACCUUAGCAAUUGACGUUAGCGACAGAAGAAGCACCGGCUAACUCCGUGCCAGCAGCCGCGGUAAUACGGAGGGUGCGAGCGUUAAUCGGAAUUACUGGGCGUAAAGGGCACGCAGGCGGUUAAUUAAGUUGGAUGUGAAAUCCCCGGGCUUAACCUGGGAAUGGCAUUCAAGACUGGUUAGCUAGAGUCUUGUAGAGGGGGUUAGAAUUCCAUGUGUAGCGGUGAAAUGCGUAGAGAUGUGGAGGAAUACCGGUGGCGAAGGCGGCCCCUGGACAAAGACUGACGCUCAUGUGCGAAAGCUGGGGAGCAAACAGGGAUUAGAUACC
Molecule: ribosomal RNA, 453 nt
Filed under: uncultured bacterium
Lineage: Bacteria
Description: bacterial SSU rRNA
Rfam family: Bacterial small subunit ribosomal RNA
Source: RNAcentral